This 506-nucleotide ribosomal RNA is filed under the name uncultured bacterium. RNAcentral describes it as "partial 16S ribosomal RNA". It matches the Rfam family "Bacterial small subunit ribosomal RNA", at positions 29 to 523 of the family's 1533-position model. The record is from RNAcentral.
AUUGAACGCUGGCGGCAGGCCUAACACAUGCAAGUCGGACGGUAGCACAGGGGAGCUUGCUCCUCGGGUGACGAGUGGCGGACGGGUGAGUAAUGUCUGGGGAUCUGCCCGAUAGAGGGGGAUAACCACUGGAAACGGUGGCUAAUACCGCAUAACGUCGCAAGACCAAAGAGGGGGACCUUCGGGCCUCUCACUAUCGGAUGAACCCAGAUGGGAUUAGCUAGUAGGCGGGGUAAUGGCCCACCUAGGCGACGAUCCCUAGCUGGUCUGAGAGGAUGACCAGCCACACUGGAACUGAGACACGGUCAAGACUCCUACGGGAGGCAGCAGUGGGGAAUAUUGCACAAUGGGCGCAAGCCUGAUGCAGCCAUGCCGCGUGUAUGAAGAAGGCCUUCGGGUUGUAAAGUACUUUCAGCGGGGAGGAAGGCGGUGAGGUUAAUAACCUUGCCGAUUGACGUUACCCGCAGAAGAAGCACCGGCUAACUCCGUGCCAGCCGCCGCAAUAA